CUCGCCUGCAUGAAGCUGGAAUUGCUAGUAAUCGCGGAUCAGCAUGCCGCGGUGAAUACGUUCCCGGGCCUUGUACACACCGCCCGUCACACCAUGAGAGUCGGGAACACCCGAAGUCCGUAGUCUAACCGCAAGGAGGGCGCGGCCGAAGGUGGGUCCGGUAAUUGGGGUGAAGUCGUAACAAGGUAAC
This 190-nucleotide ribosomal RNA is filed under the name uncultured bacterium. RNAcentral describes it as "partial 16S ribosomal RNA". It matches the Rfam family "Bacterial small subunit ribosomal RNA", at positions 1311 to 1500 of the family's 1533-position model. The record is from RNAcentral.